GAGACCCACGCCAACAGUUGCCAGCUCGUCCUCCGGGGAUGGAGGGGGACACUGUUGGGACCGCCUCUGCUAAAGAGGGAGGAAGGGAAUGGGGCAACGGUAGGUCAGCAUGCCCCGAAUUAAUUGGGCUACACGCGGGCUACAAUGGGUGGGACAAUGGGUAUCGACACCGAAAGGUGAAGGCAAUCUCCUAAACCCAUCCGUAGUUCGGAUUGUGGGCUGCAACUCGCCCACAUGAAGCUGGAAUCUGUAGUAAUCGUGUUUCAAAUAGCACGGUGAAUAUGUCCCUGCUCCUU
Molecule: ribosomal RNA, 296 nt
Filed under: uncultured Methanomicrobiales archaeon
Lineage: Archaea; Methanobacteriati; Methanobacteriota; Methanomicrobia; Methanomicrobiales
Description: partial 16S ribosomal RNA
Rfam family: Archaeal small subunit ribosomal RNA
Source: RNAcentral